This 1874-nucleotide long non-coding RNA is filed under the name Homo sapiens (human). Its description in RNAcentral is "HSALNT0309863". The record is from RNAcentral. Lineage: Eukaryota; Metazoa; Chordata; Mammalia; Primates; Hominidae.
CUCGGGCGAGCAGGGCCCUUCGCUCCGGGAGGGGAGGUGACGCGGCGCGGGCUGGACGGCCGGAGACGCGGGGUCAGGGCGCGGACGAGGGGAGCGCAGGGUCGGAGGGGCUCCCGGACGCUGCCCGCCCAGCGUCGGCUCUCGUUGGCCCCUGGCUGCGCGCAGCGGGCCCGACUCUCAGGGCCCUGCGGUGCCCGCUGCCAGCGUGAGGGCUCCGGUCACGCGGCGCGCGAGACGAACGAGCGAGAUGCUUCCCGAAGCGCGGGGCCCAGUGCAGGGGCUCAGCCGGGGCUCCUCCCAAAGCUCACCUGGAGCCCAGCACGACUGCGUUCUGGAAACGCUGUGUUUGACAGCAGGGGCAGGAUGGGGGGCUGUGUAGACGCUGGCCACGUGGCAAUUGUAGGAGAACCAUGGGAUCGAUAAAUGUUCACUGUUGUCCCUGAAGCGCAAAACUGCAGGGCUCUGGAAAGUCCGUGUGUGUGUUUUUGUUGUUUUUGUUUGUUUGAGACAGAGUCUCGCUCUGUCACCCAGGCUGGAGUGCGGUGGCGCGAUCUCUGCUCACUGCAACCUCCGCCUCCCGGGUUCAAGCGAUUCUCCUGCCUCAGCCUCCCGAGUAGCUGGGACUGCAGGCGGCCGCCACGACGCCCGGCUAAUUUUUUGUAUUUUUAGUAGAGACGGGGUUUCACCGUGUUAGCCAGGAUGGUCUUGAUCUGACCUCGUGAUCUGCCCGCCUCGGCCUCCCAGAGUGCUGGGAUUACAGGCGUGAGCCACCGCGCCUGGCCGAAAAGUCCGUUUUAAAAGAUGAUGUAUACAAAUUAUAGCACGGAGAGGGAACGGGCAAGUUGUUUCCUCUUUCCAUGCCUCCAACUCCUCUGAAAUGUGGGUCAUGAUGAUAAUAGGAAAAACUGUCUCUGCCAUAGAGAGGUGGAAAAAGUCCCGCGAAGUGUCCCCGGUAUCUAGAAAGCGCUCAGUAGUGUUUGCUGUUAUCUUAGGGAUAUCAGGCUGCCUGGACAUUUCUCAGAGGAUGAAGGGGAUUGUAGUAAGGAAGACCACCUUCCAGAGGAUGAAGGGGAUUGUAGGAAGGAAGACCACCUUCCAGAGGAUGAAGGGGAUUGUAGGAAGGAAGACCACCUUCCCGGGGCUGGGCAAGGCUGCGGUACUGUCUCUCAUCAGGUCCAGGAGGACUCAGCAGGCUGAUGCAGAGGGACACAGCGCAUCCGCCUUGGUGGAUGCAUGGCUUUCCUGGCUCCCCUGGGACGGGGGAGGAGGGUGAAGAUGGAGGGAAUCUGGCUGGCUGGGCCUUGUGUACUGGGGGGUGGAGGGCCCAUUUGACUGCAGGAAUUGCUCAAGCACAUAAGCACCUUGAAGUGUGUUACUAAGAUACAAGAAACAGGUUUGCUUUUGCCUAUUCCAGCAUGGUGUACCUCUCUUAGGAUACCUUUUAGCACAGGUAGCAGAAUACCAGCCAGCCUCCUGUGGCUCACAGCAUUAAGAUAUUUAAUCAUCUGACAUUACAUGAAGUCCAGUGUUAGGCAGGCAGGAGCUGCUCCCGUGACUCAGUGACAUCAGGUUGGUCCACAUCCUAGCAGUUCUCUUGGUGUUCCUGCGUGAUCAAAGGAUGACUGCCACACCCCAGCCUGCUGACCUCAGCCCUGGCGUGGGCAUAGGAGGGUCUGCGUGGCUGAGCAUCCAGUGUCCUUCGUACUGCCACUGACAGCCUCAGGCCUGAUUUCCAGCACUGUCUGUCCAGGAGCAAUGGGAGCAAGAGUCACUCCACGAGACUCUGGAGGCCUGAUAGACAAAAUACAUGAAGACCAGUUUCUACACAGAGAAUCACUAAAAGAUGGCCAGGCGCGGUGGCUCACGCCUGUAAU